GAUGAACGCUGGCGGCGUGCCUAAUACAUGCAAGUCGAGCGAACGGACGAGAAGCUUGCUUCUCUGAUGUUAGCGGCGGGCGGGUGAGUAACACGUGGAUAACCUACCUAUAAGACUGGGAUAACUUCGGGAAACCGGAGCUAAUACCGGAUAAUAUUUUGAACCGCAUGGUUCAAAAGUGAAAGACGGUCUUGCUGUCACUUAUAGAUGGAUCCGCGUUGCAUUAGCUAGUUGGUAAGGUAACGGGUUACCAAGGCAACGAUGCAUAGCCGACCUGAGAGGGUGAUCGGCCACACGGGAACGGAGACACGGUCCAGACUCCUACGGUAGGCAGCAGUAGGGAAUCUUCCGCAAUGGGCGAAAGCCUGACGGAGCAACGCCGCGUGAGUGAUGAAGGUCUUCGGAUCGUAAAACUCUGUUAUUAGGGAAGAACAUAUGUGUAAGUAACUGUGCACAUCUUGACGGUACCUAAUCAGAAAGCCACGGCUAACUACGUG
Molecule: ribosomal RNA, 497 nt
Filed under: uncultured bacterium
Lineage: Bacteria
Description: partial 16S ribosomal RNA
Rfam family: Bacterial small subunit ribosomal RNA
Source: RNAcentral